Molecule: ribosomal RNA, 58 nt
Filed under: Helicoma isiola
Lineage: Eukaryota; Fungi; Ascomycota; Dothideomycetes; Tubeufiales; Tubeufiaceae
Description: 28S ribosomal RNA
Rfam family: Eukaryotic large subunit ribosomal RNA
Source: RNAcentral
UUUGACCUCGGAUCAGGCAGGGAUACCCGCUGAACUUAAGCAUAUCAAUAAGCGGAGG